Molecule: ribosomal RNA, 497 nt
Filed under: uncultured bacterium
Lineage: Bacteria
Description: partial 16S ribosomal RNA
Rfam family: Bacterial small subunit ribosomal RNA
Source: RNAcentral
GAUGAACGCUGGCGGCGUGCCUAAUACAUGCAAGUCGAGCGAACAGACGAGGAGCUUGCUCCUUCGACGUUAGCGGCGGACGGGUGAGUAACACGUAGGUAACCUACCUAUAAGACUGGGAUAACUUCGGGAAACCGGAGCUAAUACCGGAUAAUAUUUCGCACCGCAUGGUUCGAUAGUGAAAGAUGGCUUUGCUAUCACUUAUAGAUGGACCUGCGCCGUAUUAGCUAGUUGGUAAGGUAACGGCUUACCAAGGCAACGAUACGUAGCCGACCUGAGAGGGUGAUCGGCCACACGGGAACUGAGACACGGUCCAGACUCCUACGGGAGGCAGCAGUAGGGAAUCUUCCGCAAUGGGCGAAAGCCUGACGGAGCAACGCCGCGUGAGUGAUGAAGGUCUUCGGAUCGUAAAACUCUGUUAUUAGGGAAGAACAAACGUGUAAGUAACUGUGCACGUCUUGACGGUACCUAAUCAGAAAGCCACGGCUAACUACGUG